GACGAACGCUGGCGGCGUGCCUAACACAUGCAAGUCGAACGCUUCUUUCCUCCCGAGUGCUUGCACUCAAUUGGAAAGAGGAGUGGCGGACGGGUGAGUAACACGUGGGUAACCUACCCAUCAGAGGGGGAUAACACUUGGAAACAGGUGCUAAUACCGCAUAACAGUUUAUGCCGCAUGGCAUAAGAGUGAAAGGCGCUUUCGGGUGUCGCUGAUGGAUGGACCCGCGGUGCAUUAGCUAGUUGGUGAGGUAACGGCUCACCAAGGCCACGAUGCAUAGCCGACCUGAGAGGGUGAUCGGCCACACUGGGACUGAGGCACGGCCCAGACUCCUACGGGAGGCAGCAGUAGGGAAUCUUCGGCAAUGGACGAAAGUCUGACCGAGCAACGCCGCGUGAGUGAAGAAGGUGUUCGGAUCGUAAAACUCUGUUGUUAGAGAAGAACAAGGACGUUAGUAACUGAACGUCCCCUGACGGUAUCUAACCAGAAAGCCACGGCUAACUACGUG
Molecule: ribosomal RNA, 508 nt
Filed under: uncultured bacterium
Lineage: Bacteria
Description: partial 16S ribosomal RNA
Rfam family: Bacterial small subunit ribosomal RNA
Source: RNAcentral